GAGGAAGGUGGGGAUGACGUCAAAUCAUCAUGCCCCUUAUGACUUGGGCUACACACGUGCUACAAUGGCGUAAACAAAGGGAAGCGAGACCGUGAGGUGGAGCAAAUCCCAAAAAUAACGUCUCAGUUCGGACUGUAGUCUGCAACCCGACUACACGAAGCUGGAAUCGCUAGUAAUCGCAGAUCAGAAUGCUGCGGUGAAUACGUUCCCGGGUCUUGUACACACCGCCCGUCGCACCAUGGGAGUUGGAAAUGCCCGAAGUCAGUGACCCAACCGCAAGGAGGGAGCUGCCGAAGGCAGGUUCGA
RNAcentral lists this ribosomal RNA (306 nucleotides) under unidentified low G+C gram-positive bacterium. RNAcentral describes it as "SSU rRNA". It matches the Rfam family "Bacterial small subunit ribosomal RNA", at positions 1166 to 1471 of the family's 1533-position model. Lineage: Bacteria; Bacillati; Bacillota. The record is from RNAcentral.